AAUGUGUUUGUAUUAAAUACUAGUCUUUAAGCAGAAGAGCUGAUAGGUUACAGAGCAUGCAAGUUCAUUUCAUAUAAAUAAUCCAUCAUGAGGAUUAUUAAGGUUUGCACAGCUAACUUUAAAUAAAGGAUUUAGCCUGCCUUUCUAGAAAGUGAAAACUGAAUAGUCAAUUUCCAGUUAUUUGAACUGUUAUUAAAAUUCUCAUUCGUUGUGUCCCAAUGUCCUUCUCAUUUCUCUGCAUUUGCUACUUUCAGUCAGGUCCCCACAUUCCUAAUCAAGAGCCAGGUCCUCCACUCUGCAGAGCCUGUAGCCUCCAUUUAUUCUAAGCAUCCAUUGCUCUUUCCCCUGGCUCUCUGCGUCUCACAGCCCCCAGACCUUCAGAGUGCAGUUCUUUCCCCCAGGCCUCGGCACACUUGCCACCGGAGAAGCAGCAGAUGCACAGCGAGGAGGACACGAAUAAUACACCUGCUUAACCCCAUCCCAGCUCGCAUGUCAUAGAAAACAACCAUGUUGCAGGGAGCGCAUCUUAACCGUGUCUGUCAAGCUGCUAAGUGGCAGGACCACUCAUCACUGCCUGGACGCGGAUGCUAACAGAGCAGUAGUGACCAGGAGGACAGACAGCUUAUACGCAGGCUUGAAAGCAAAAUAAGAGAAGGCAGGCUGUUUAGGGCAGCAGAGCUGAUGGAGCCAACCAACACUGACAGAAUGGUCUCAACCAGUUUGUGUGUGUCUCUGGAAUCCUGCCCAUUUCCAUCCUCCAGAGACAAAAAGGACCAACCUCUAUGUCACCUUAGCGAUGAACCUUUCCCCGAGUCUUAAACCUGGACCCAGGUAUUCCUAUAUUCAGCAAAGUGUUAUUUCUGUCUCUUCUAAAAUUCCAGUUCUAAAUACACUCAUGGCUCAUCAUUCAUUCAGACCACAAAUAUUUACUAAGGAAGUGCAUGCCAGGUGAUGAAGCUACAAGUGAACGAGACAUGGCCCCUCUCAAGCCACAGGACACAAACAAACCUAGGGGCAGUUCUUAAUAACAUGGUGUUAAGUGCUGUGAUGGAGGGAAACGCGGGAAAUAGCCCCACUCACACCACAAAGGAGGGUUUUCUGGGGGAAAGGAGUCCCCCAGCUCCGUUAUGAAGGACAAACAGAGUCAGUCAGGCGGAGGAUUAAGGGUGCAGGGGAAAAAAAUGACAUUUCAGGAAAAAGCAUGUGCCACUUAAAAAAUAUAUUUUCUAAUUUGGGAGAGAAAUGACAAAGAUGCGUUCCGAGGGCAUAAAGGGGAGAAAGUCAAGGGAUAUUUAGAAGAAGGUAAGAUUUAGAGAACUUGGUGACCAACUAGCAGGAGGUGAGAGAAUGAGUCAAAGAUAACUUAAUACACGUUUUAUCCUUCUGCACAACUGUCUACGUUUUCUUAUCCUAUUCGGAUGCAAACGCCUUGGGACAAAGGAUCCCACCCUUUAGCACUAUAUGAGGCAUGUAAUGGGUGUUCAAUGUAAUCAUUUUUUAUAGAUUUCCCAUUACUGUAACCCUGGUUACAAACAUUAACGUAUCUAGCUAAACAACCAAGACAUUUUCUUGAGAAAAGCAGUAUUUUAAGAACUAUCAAAGGACAGUACUGAUACAGAAAACUUAGUUAAAAACUUCCUGA
RNAcentral lists this long non-coding RNA (1642 nucleotides) under Capra hircus (goat). RNAcentral describes it as "lncRNA (ENSCHIG00010016746.1)". Lineage: Eukaryota; Metazoa; Chordata; Mammalia; Artiodactyla; Bovidae. The record is from RNAcentral.